This 23-nucleotide non-coding RNA is filed under the name Arabidopsis thaliana (thale cress). The record is from RNAcentral. Lineage: Eukaryota; Viridiplantae; Streptophyta; Magnoliopsida; Brassicales; Brassicaceae.
GAUAACACAAUCAGCGGCGACUA